RNAcentral lists this ribosomal RNA (252 nucleotides) under uncultured bacterium. RNAcentral describes it as "partial 16S ribosomal RNA". It matches the Rfam family "Bacterial small subunit ribosomal RNA", at positions 526 to 779 of the family's 1533-position model. The record is from RNAcentral.
CGGAGGAUCCGAGCGUUAUCCGGAUUUAUUGGGUUUAAAGGGAGCGUAGGCGGAUUGUUAAGUCAGUUGUGAAAGUUUGCGGCUCAACCGUAAAUUGCAGUUGAUACUGGCAGUCUUGAGUGCAGUAGAGGUGGGCGGAAUUCGUGGUGUAGCGGUGAAAUGCUUAGAUAUCACGAAGAACUCCGAUUGCGAAGGCAGCUCACUGGAGUGUAACUGACGCUGAUGCUCGAAAGUGUGGUAUCAAACAGGAUU